AUACCCUAUUAUUUUUAAUGUAAAUUUUAUGAAGGCUGGAGUAUUAAUAGUUAUGGUCUUUAAACUCAAAGGAUUUGGCGGUAUUAUAAUCUUUUUAGAGGAAUUUGUCAUGUAAUCGAUAGUCCACGUUGAACCUUACUUGUUUAGUUAAUUUUCUUGUAUACCGCUGUUUAUGAAGAUACUUUUAGGUUUUAAAAUCUUCUUGAUAAAAGGUGAAUUAAAUAUUUAAUAUUUCAAGUCAAGGUGCAGUAAUAAAUAAGUUGAAUGAUGAAUUACAAUAAAUUUUAUUUAAUUAAUGGAUUUUUAUUUAAAGGUAAUAUGAAGGUGGAUUUAAUAGUAAUUUUAUGAAGAUUAUUAAAAUGAAUUUUUGGCUCUUUAAUAUGUACACAUCGC
This 393-nucleotide ribosomal RNA is filed under the name Pseudomusonia sp. MN720. Its description in RNAcentral is "partial 12S ribosomal RNA". Lineage: Eukaryota; Metazoa; Arthropoda; Insecta; Mantodea; Thespidae. The record is from RNAcentral.